AUGUCCACGCUGCGUCCAUCAAAGGGUCAAGGACUGGCUGGCAGGCCAUGUCAAGGAACUGGGGCCAGAACUGGCAGAGCAACAACUACCUCAACGGUCAGAGCCUCUCAUUUAAGGUCACCACCAGUGACGGCCGCACCGUGGUGUCCUACAAUGUUGCCCCUUCGGGCUGGUCCUUUGGGCAGACCUACAGUGGAGCACAGUUCCGCUAGGAACCCUAGCUAUUUAUGCGCUUAGGGCAUUGCCUCCCAGCACACCUGGAACCACACGAUCACGUGUAAGACACCACGUGAUUGAGUGGCGAGCAAUGCCCUAAGAGCACUGGAGUGUAUAAAU
RNAcentral lists this long non-coding RNA (336 nucleotides) under Actinidia chinensis (golden kiwifruit). Its description in RNAcentral is "long non-coding RNA (ACHI_LNC002158)". The record is from RNAcentral. Lineage: Eukaryota; Viridiplantae; Streptophyta; Magnoliopsida; Ericales; Actinidiaceae.